GAUGAAUGCUGGCGGCGUGCUUAACACAUGCAAGUCGAGCGGUAAGGCCCUUCGGGGUACACGAGCGGCGGACGGCUGAGUAACGCGUGGGAACAUGCCCUAAAGUGAGGAAUAACUGCCCGAAAGGGUGGCUAAUGCCGCAUAUGAUCUUCGGAUUAAAGGAUUUAUCCGCUUUAGGAGUGGCCUGCGUACGAUUAGCUUGUUGGUGAGGUAAUGGCUUACCAAGGCGACGAUCGUUAGCUGGUCUGAGAGGAUGACCAGCCAGACUGGAACUGAAACACGGUCCAGACUCCUACGGGAGGCAGCAGUGAGGAAUCUUCCACAAUGGGCGAAAGCCUGAUGGAGCAACGCCGCGUGCAGGAUGAAGGCCCUCGGGUCGUAAACUGCUUUUAUGAGUGAAGAAUAUGACGGUAACUCAUGAAUAAGCACCGGCUAACUACGUGCCAGCAGCCGCGGUA
Molecule: ribosomal RNA, 458 nt
Filed under: uncultured bacterium
Lineage: Bacteria
Description: partial 16S ribosomal RNA
Rfam family: Bacterial small subunit ribosomal RNA
Source: RNAcentral